RNAcentral lists this ribosomal RNA (274 nucleotides) under uncultured bacterium. Its description in RNAcentral is "partial 16S ribosomal RNA". It matches the Rfam family "Bacterial small subunit ribosomal RNA", at positions 523 to 796 of the family's 1533-position model. The record is from RNAcentral.
AUACGGAGGGUGCAAGCGUUAUUCGGAAUCACUGGGCGUAAAGGACGCGUAGGCGGGUUGGCAAGUCAGAUGUGAAAUCCUACAGCUUAACUGUAGAACUGCAUUUGAAACUGCUAACCUAGAGUAUGGGAGGGGGGGAUGGAAUUAGUGGUGUAGGGGUAAAAUCCGUAGAUAUCACUAGGACUACCGAAAGCGAAGGCGAUCUCCUGGAACAUAACUGACGCUAAGGCGUGAAAGCGUGGGGAGCAAACAGGAUUAGAAACCCCAGUAGUCC